This 253-nucleotide ribosomal RNA is filed under the name uncultured bacterium. Its description in RNAcentral is "partial 16S ribosomal RNA". It matches the Rfam family "Bacterial small subunit ribosomal RNA", at positions 524 to 776 of the family's 1533-position model. The record is from RNAcentral.
UACGUAGGGGGCGAUCGUUAAUCGGAAUUACUGGGCGUAAAGCGUGCGCAGGCGGUUCGUUAAUUCAGAUGUGAAAGCCCCGGGCUCAACCUGGGAACUGCAUUUGAAACUGGCGGGCUUGAGUGUGGCAGAGGGGGGUGGAAUUCCGCGUGUAGCAGUGAAAUGCGUAGAGAUGCGGAGGAACACCGAUGGCGAAGGCAGCCCCCUGGGCCAACACUGACGCUCAGGCACGAAAGCGUGGGGAGCAAACAGG